GGCCAGGCGCCUCGGCCCGGGGACGCACCGCGCGCGUCUCUAGGAGCGGGCGCCGGCGCGGGGCACGGAGCGCGGCGCGCCCUGCGCGCUUUGGGCCCUUGGAACCUUCGGGAAGAGCGGCUCCGGCCGCCGACGCAGCCGUACCCGGGUGCGGCGAGGUCACGGCGACUGUCCGGCAGCCCCGGAGCGCUCUGCCCGCGUCCCUCUUCCCUGUCUCACGCGACCGACCGUGAUGACUUCUGCCUCCUGACGCCUUCGUGCACUUACUUUGAGGGCGACCCUGCGACCUUCGCAUAACCAGGGAAGGCUCCCCGCAUGGUGACCCCAGCCUCGCCUGCAGACUCUGCCAUAAGGCGACACAGCCCCAGCCUCUGGGAAGACACCGACGUCUUCCAGGGCCCCCUGUGCCCACCACGAUGGCAGACACGUCUGGGAGUACCGCAGACAAUUCUGAAGAUGUCCAGCCCGGCUCCUCAGUGUACUUCUACAGCCACAGUGAUUGGCUUCAAUUAACAGCAGCUGAAGUGUUUGCUGAAUUGAUUCAGAACCUUUCUUGCUUAAAAUGGAAGUUCUCUUCUGUAUACUGAGACCUGUUGUAGCAGCAGACGACCAUGGGGUUGGCUAUUCUCCAGACCUGUUAUUCUCCUCUUCAUGCCCAGUGCUGACAAGAAGCUAACCUUGCUAUGGCCCUGCACCUGAGCCCAUGGGCCCAGAACUCAGGCUCCACACAGCCAGACUCUGGUGCCGCAGCGCCGCCAGGCACACGUGAAGUAGGGUAGAAGGAUUGCCCUGGACUGUGUUCUCUGUGCUCGGGCCGCAUCCACAGAUCUCUGCUUUCGGAAUGACAAUCUGAACGUGAGUAUCCCCCACGAGUGUCUCCAACUCCCACAUUCUGCUUCUACCCACAGGGAAAAACAAACCUUCAAAAAAUGCAUAACGCUGUUAUGAAGUUACCACCGCUUCGUUUUCUGAAUCUGAGUCUCCACACAACAGAAAAGGCUUAGAAUUCCCACAGCCCUGAGAAGGGCGAUUUCUCUGGCCAGUGAAGGCAUCUGCCAAGCACAAAUUCUCCAUCUGUAAAAUGGAAACUCACAAAACUGCAUGGGUUCCCUAGCAGCGCCAUGAAAACUCUCGUUUCCAACCGGCACUGCAGCCCCGCGGCUCGCCUCUGUCCUCCGUGUGGACGUCAGGUGGCCUAGCCGUGUCACAGACUCGCUGGCCGGUGCUCGAAUUCGUAGACACACGGAGUCCUGAGAGAGACACGCAUGGUUGCUCGGGCACUGAACAGACUAAAACAUCGCAAACCCUCACCAGCGAGGGAACCAGCUGGGUUCCAAAUUCUAGCAGUUCCUACGUUUUUGUGCCGAAAAUAAAAUUCCCUACUCGUAAAAUUCCGGGGAAUGU
This 1404-nucleotide long non-coding RNA is filed under the name Oryctolagus cuniculus (rabbit). RNAcentral's name for it is "lncRNA (ENSOCUG00000031734.1)". Lineage: Eukaryota; Metazoa; Chordata; Mammalia; Lagomorpha; Leporidae. The record is from RNAcentral.